AGACGUUGAAGAGACUGUCUGGAGUUGGAGUGUACAACAAGUCGAGGCUGGUUUGCCUUCGGGGCGAUAGACGAUAAAGAAUCGCGUAUGGUGGAGCGAUUAGGAAUGACUGUUGUUCCAACAAGUGGGAUGUUUCCUCGCGAAAAUUGGGGUUGAUGGUUGAAGCGUUGGGAAGUGCAUUGGGGAUACGAAUUGUAUUGGGCCGAAAAUUGGGGCAAGUUGAACAAUGUUAACUACGAUCGAGGGGCUAGCCGACGACAGGAAGACGAAGCGGAUGGUAUGAGCUCAGUCUGACUUUACGUUAGUUUGAAGAUACUUAGAUUAGAUAGGGUUA
Paramuricea clavata is the source of this 334-nucleotide non-coding RNA. NCBI's taxonomy places the organism in Eukaryota, Metazoa, Cnidaria, Anthozoa, Malacalcyonacea, Plexauridae. The record is from the annotation of a GenBank genome assembly.